CCGAAGCAAAUCAAGAGUAAUUUAAAGGAGGUACAGCUCCUUUAAAAAAGAAUACAACCUCUCCUAGCGGAUAACACCUCCUCACCCCAAAACUGUAGGCCUUUAAGCAGCCAUCAAUAAAGAGUGCGUCAAAGCUCACCUUAAAAAAAUCCAAGAAUCAAUCUGACUCCCUUACCCCUAACAGGCUAACCUAUAGUAAUAGGAGAAUUAAUGCUAAAAUAAGUAACUGGGGCACCCCCUCUCAAGCGCAAGCUUACAUCAUUACAUUAUUAACAGACCACGGCUAAUGCUGCAAACCAACAAGACUAAACAUUAAACUCACCCUGUUAACCCGACUCAGGAGCGCUUUAU
RNAcentral lists this ribosomal RNA (351 nucleotides) under Grus americana (Whooping crane). Its description in RNAcentral is "partial 16S ribosomal RNA". The record is from RNAcentral. Lineage: Eukaryota; Metazoa; Chordata; Aves; Gruiformes; Gruidae.